CAGGUGCGUGGUCAGGCGUUCGAGCAAGCCGUCGAGAGCGGUCUGGCGGAUGAUCUUCAGUUCGCCCUGGUGCAGGGCCUGGAACGCUUGAC
Molecule: transfer RNA, 92 nt
Filed under: Pseudomonas fluorescens
Lineage: Bacteria; Pseudomonadati; Pseudomonadota; Gammaproteobacteria; Pseudomonadales; Pseudomonadaceae
Description: tRNA-Leu
Source: RNAcentral